UGAUCCAGCCAUGCCGCGUGAAGGAGACUGCCCUAUGGGUUGUAAACUUCUUUUAUAGAGGAAGAAACACAGAUACGUGUAUUUGUUUGACGGUACUCUACGAAUAAGGAUCGGCUAACUCCGUGCCAGCAGCCGCGGUAAUACGGAGGAUCCAAGCGUUAUCCGGAAUCAUUGGGUUUAAAGGGUCCGCAGGCUGUUGUUUAAGUCAGAGGUGAAAGUUUGCAGCUCAACUGUAAAAUUGCCUUUGAUACUGGAUAACUUGAGUAAUAAUGAAGUGGUUAGAAUAUGUAGUGUAGCGGUGAAAUGCAUAGAUAUUACAUAGAAUACCGAUUGCGAAGGCAGAUCACUAAUUAUAUACUGACGCUGAGGGACGAAAGCGUGGGGAGCGAACAGGAUUAGAUACCCUGGUAGUCCACGCCGUAAACGAUGGUUACUAGCUGUUUGGAUUUCGGACUGAGUGGCUAAGCGAAAGUGAUAAGUAACCCACCUGGGGAGUACGAUCGCAAGAUUGAAACUCAAAGAAAAUUGACGG
Molecule: ribosomal RNA, 532 nt
Filed under: uncultured marine bacterium
Lineage: Bacteria
Description: bacterial SSU rRNA
Rfam family: Bacterial small subunit ribosomal RNA
Source: RNAcentral